Molecule: ribosomal RNA, 651 nt
Filed under: Lacticaseibacillus rhamnosus
Lineage: Bacteria; Bacillati; Bacillota; Bacilli; Lactobacillales; Lactobacillaceae
Description: bacterial SSU rRNA
Rfam family: Bacterial small subunit ribosomal RNA
Source: RNAcentral
AGCCGAACUGAGAGGUUGAUCGGCCACAUUGGGACUGAGACACGGCCCAAACUCCUACGGGAGGCAGCAGUAGGGAAUCUUCCACAAUGGACGCAAGUCUGAUGGAGCAACGCCGCGUGAGUGAAGAAGGCUUUCGGGUCGUAAAACUCUGUUGUUGGAGAAGAAUGGUCGGCAGAGUAACUGUUGUCGGCGUGACGGUAUCCAACCAGAAAGCCACGGCUAACUACGUGCCAGCAGCCGCGGUAAUACGUAGGUGGCAAGCGUUAUCCGGAUUUAUUGGGCGUAAAGCGAGCGCAGGCGGUUUUUUAAGUCUGAUGUGAAAGCCCUCGGCUUAACCGAGGAAGUGCAUCGGAAACUGGGAAACUUGAGUGCAGAAGAGGACAGUGGAACUCCAUGUGUAGCGGUGAAAUGCGUAGAUAUAUGGAAGAACACCAGUGGCGAAGGCGGCUGUCUGGUCUGUAACUGACGCUGAGGCUCGAAAGCAUGGGUAGCGAACAGGAUUAGAUACCCUGGUAGUCCAUGCCGUAAACGAUGAAUGCUAGGUGUUGGAGGGUUUCCGCCCUUCAGUGCCGCAGCUAACGCAUUAAGCAUUCCGCCUGGGGAGUACGACCGCAAGGUUGAAACUCAAAGGAAUUGACGGGGGCCCGCACA